Molecule: ribosomal RNA, 524 nt
Filed under: uncultured Rhodoferax sp.
Lineage: Bacteria; Pseudomonadati; Pseudomonadota; Betaproteobacteria; Burkholderiales; Comamonadaceae
Description: bacterial SSU rRNA
Rfam family: Bacterial small subunit ribosomal RNA
Source: RNAcentral
AGAGUUUGAUCAUGGCUCAGAUUGAACGCUGGCGGCAUGCCUUACACAUGCAAGUCGAACGGCAGCACGGGAGCAAUCCUGGUGGCGAGUGGCGAACGGGUGAGUAAUAUAUCGGAACGUGCCCAGUCGUGGGGGAUAACGUAGCGAAAGCUACGCUAAUACCGCAUACGAUCUACGGAUGAAAGCGGGGGAUCGCAAGACCUCGCGCGAUUGGAGCGGCCGAUAUCAGAUUAGCUAGUUGGUGGGGUAAAAGCCCACCAAGGCGACGAUCUGUAGCUGGUCUGAGAGGACGACCAGCCACACUGGAACUGAGACACGGUCCAGACUCCUACGGGAGGCAGCAGUGGGGAAUUUUGGACAAUGGGCGCAAGCCUGAUCCAGCAAUGCCGCGUGCAGGAUGAAGGCCCUUCGGGUUGUAAACUGCUUUUGUACGGAACGAAACGGUUCGCUUUAAUACAGUGGGCUAAUGACGGUACCGUAAGAAUAAGCACCGGCUAACUACGUGCCAGCAGCCGCGGUAAUAC